UACGUAGGGACCGAGCGUUGUCCGGAAUCAUUGGGCGUAAAGAGCGUGUAGGCGGCUAUUUAAGUCCUGCGUGAAAUCCUGCGGCUCAACCGCAGACGGUCGUGGGAAACUGGAUGGCUAGAGUGCGGGAGAGGAGAGUGGAAUUCCCGGUGUAGCGGUGAAAUGCGCAGAUAUCGGGAGGAAUACCCGUGGCGAAGGCGGCCCCCUGGGCCGAACCUGACGCUGAGGCGCGAAGGCUAGGGGAGCGAACGGG
RNAcentral lists this ribosomal RNA (253 nucleotides) under uncultured bacterium. RNAcentral's name for it is "partial 16S ribosomal RNA". It matches the Rfam family "Bacterial small subunit ribosomal RNA", at positions 524 to 776 of the family's 1533-position model. The record is from RNAcentral.